RNAcentral lists this ribosomal RNA (488 nucleotides) under uncultured bacterium. Its description in RNAcentral is "partial 16S ribosomal RNA". It matches the Rfam family "Bacterial small subunit ribosomal RNA", at positions 28 to 506 of the family's 1533-position model. The record is from RNAcentral.
GAUGAACGCUAGCGGCAGGCUUAAUACAUGCAAGUCGAGGGGCAGCAGGACUGUAGCAAUACAGUUGCUGGCGACCGGCAAACGGGUGCGGAACACGUACGCAACCUACCCAAAACUGGGGGAUAGCCCGGGGAAACCCGGAUUAAUACCUCGUAACCUUUUUAAGUGGCAUCACUUGAUAAGUAUAGCUCCGGCGGUUUUGGAUGGGCGUGCGCCUGAUUAGGUAGUUGGUGCGGGUAACGGCCCACCAAGCCUGCGAUCAGUAACUGGUGUGAGAGCACGACCAGUAACAAGGGAACUGGGACACGGGCCCGACUCCUACGGGAGGCAGCAGGAAGGAAAAUUGGUCAAUGGACGCAAGUCUGAACCAGCCAUGCCGGGUGAAGGAGGAAGGUCCUUUGGAUUGAAAACUUCUUUUAUGGGGGACGAAACCCGGAUAUUCUUAUCCGAUUGACGGUACCUAAGGAAUAAGCACCGGCUAACCCCGU